UGGGGAAUAUUGGACAAUGGGCGCAAGCCUGAUCCAGCCGUACCGCGUGGGUGAAGAAGGCCUUCGGGUUGUAAAGCCCUUUUGUUGGGAAAGAAAUCCAGCUGGCUAAUACCCGGUUGGGAUGACGGUACCCAAAGAAUAAGCACCGGCUAACUUCGUGCCAGCAGCCGCGGUAAUACGAAGGGUGCAAGCGUUACUCGGAAUUACUGGGCGUAAAGCGUGCGUAGGUGGUUAUUUAAGUCCGUUGUGAAAGCCCUGGGCUCAACCUGGGAACUGCAGUGGAUACUGGAUGACUAGAAUGUGGUAGAGGGUAGCGGAAUUCCUGGUGUAGCAGUGAAAUGCGUAGAGAUCAGGAGGAACAUCCAUGGCGAAGGCAGCUACCUGGACCAACAUUGACACUGAGGCACGAAAGCGUGGGGAGCAAACA
Molecule: ribosomal RNA, 427 nt
Filed under: uncultured bacterium
Lineage: Bacteria
Description: bacterial SSU rRNA
Rfam family: Bacterial small subunit ribosomal RNA
Source: RNAcentral